GAAAUACGCCCUCCGUCUCAAAUUACUUGGCUUAAAAAAGAAUAACAAUGGAUGUAUCUAGAAAUAAAAUACAUCAAGAUACAUCGAAUUCUGUGACAAGUAAUUCCGGACGGAGGAUGUAGGAG
Molecule: non-coding RNA, 125 nt
Organism: Triticum aestivum (bread wheat)
Lineage: Eukaryota; Viridiplantae; Streptophyta; Magnoliopsida; Poales; Poaceae
Source: Rfam